Notechis scutatus (mainland tiger snake) is the source of this 1090-nucleotide non-coding RNA. The record is from RefSeq and is a predicted model, not a curated record. NCBI's taxonomy places the organism in Eukaryota, Metazoa, Chordata, Lepidosauria, Squamata, Elapidae.
ACCCGCUUGAAAUUCUCCGAGUAACAUUUUCUACAUAGAAUCUCUACAGGCCUAAGGAUGUUGGCUCUUCUGGUCUUGUUCAACCAACAUGGAUGUCCUUCCAUCUUCUCAGCCAGAUAUCUGUUUCAUGAAAAUGAGAAGCAGAAGAAAAGGAAUGGAGUGCAAAUUAGUUGGGUCACUCAGAUCUUAGGAUAGCGAAGGGGGAUAAAAAGCUGUCAUCUUGGCAAUGGUGACUUCAGGAUCAACAUUAAAAGGUUUGUUUCCACAAUAUAUCUUGAAACAGCAACCAGAGAUGAAUACAUCUGUGAAGAAUACAACCAACCCAAUGGACCAACCCAACCAAUUGAUCAACUAGUCAACCCAACCAACCCAACCCAACCAACCAACCAACCAACCACAGAAGCAAGAAAAGUUCAGUGUGUUCCAUACAUUUAGAGAUACAUCUCUUUGUACACCAUUGAGGGGAAAUAUUGAGUUGUUAGAUUGGAGUUCCAGCAUCAAUAGCUGGCCACGAUGCAGAACUGCCCCAGAAUUGAUGGCCCCUGGGAAAGGAUCUUAAGAAAGAUUUGUGGUGAAGAUGAAGAAAUCUGAGAUUAGAAAAGCCACAAUGGGUUUGUAAUACAGGAAAAAAACAACCCACCUUUUAAAGAAUCUAAAUCAGGAGUCUUCAAACUUGACAGCUUUAAGACUUGUGGACUUCAACUCCCAGAAUUCCUCCUCCAGUCAUGUUAGCUCAGGAAUUCUGGAAGUUGAAGUCCACAAGUCUUAAACUUGCCAAGUUUGAAGAGCCUUGGUCUAUCUCAACCCAUUGAGAACUAUUGUUCUGACAGAGACAUCUGACUGGGCCUGCAAGGACCCAAAUUUUAAUGGACCAAUUUCUUAUUUCUGAAGAUAGUCUCCCUCACAAGGUUGCUAUUGUGGGAAUAAAAUUAGGGGAGACUCCUGUGUAAACUGCUUUGAGAUUCCCCGAGAAAAGAAGGAUUAAAAAUAACAGUAAAAGAAAAUGGAGAAAAGAAUGUGACAGCUUUAGCAAAAUGUUGGUGAAAAGAGAACAGAUAGUUCUCAACUUACAACGGUUCAUUUAGUGACU